GCAGCCGCCACGGUAAUACGAAGGGGGCUAGCGUUGCUCGGAAUGACUGGGCGUAAAGGGCGCGUAGGCGGCGAUCAAAGUCAGGCGUGAAAUUCCUGGGCUCAACCUGGGGGCUGCGCUUGAUACUUGGUUGCUUGAGUGGGGAAGAGGGUCGUGGAAUUCCCAGUGUAGAGGUGAAAUUCGUAGAUAUUGGGAAGAACACCGGUGGCGAAGGCGGCGACCUGGUCCUUGACUGACGCUGAGGCGCGAAAGCGUGGGGAGCAAACAGGAUUAGAUACCCCGGUAGUCCCUGUCUCUUAUCC
RNAcentral lists this ribosomal RNA (302 nucleotides) under uncultured bacterium. Its description in RNAcentral is "partial 16S ribosomal RNA". It matches the Rfam family "Bacterial small subunit ribosomal RNA", at positions 508 to 809 of the family's 1533-position model. The record is from RNAcentral.